UGAAUCUGAAUCUUAAUCUGAAUUUACAUUUUCAACCAAAUCAUAUAUGAUCCAGCAUCGAUCCCUGUUGGACUUUACUGCUCAAAGACCUCCAGUCAGAAUAACACCUUUCCAACACUGUACUCAGUUUUUGAAUCCAAUCUACCAAAUCAAGGAUCCCAUGUGCCUUAAUCUUUUGGAUGUGUCUAUCAUGAAGUAGCUUGUGAAAUACUUCAGUAAACUCCUUGUAUAAAAAAUCCACUGCCUUUCCCUCAUCAAUCAUCCUCAAAAUAUUCAAUUUAAGCCCUGAUGAUUAUCCCAAGUAAGUCUACGACUUUCCAGAUGUAAGUAAAUCCUGUCCAAGAAUCUUCUCCAAUAAUUUCUCCAUCCCUGAUGUACGGCUCAAUGGCUAUUGUCCAGUCCUCUCAGACCACAUCUGUUGCUACAGAGGAUCAAAGAUCUCUGUCAGGGCAGCAAUUUCCUCUCUUCCCUCCAUCAAUAACUUGGGGUAGGUCCAAUCAGUCCCUGGGGACAUCCACUUUAAUGUACUUCCUGCUGAUACCUCACUCCCGAGCUUGCUGUCCUUCUCUUUGCUGGAUAUCAAUGCAAAAUACUAAUUUAAUACUUCACCCGCUUCUUCAGGAGUAAUAAUAUUUUGCUGCAAUUGUAUAGAGACUUAGUGAGAUUACACAGAGAAUACCAUGAAGCGGUUUUUAGCUCCUUGACCCAAAAAGGAAGGACUUACAAUGGACUAGUGUACAGUAAAGAGUCAUUAGACUGACUUCUUGGGAGAUGGUUCCUUUAUAUGAAGAGGAAUUGAACAGUCGAGGCCUCUAUCCUGUUAGAGUUGAUAAGAUUGUGACAUGACAGCAUUGAAAUAUGAUCAAUUCUUGGAAGGCUCAACAGGGUAGAUGCUGGAGAAUAUUUACCCUCGUUGUGGAAUCUAGAACAAGAAGUCAGAGUCUCAAAUUAAGGAGUCUAAAAUAAAACAAAAUGUCUUCACUCAAAGGAAGGUGAAACUUUUGAAUUCUGUACAGGAGGACUUUUGGGCCCUUGCCAUUGAUUGCAUUCAAAGUAUAGAUUGCUAGAUUGCUAGAUAUUAACGGAAUCAAGAGAUAGGAGGGCAGAGAAGGAAAAUGGUAUUCAAACCAUGGUUGUUUUGGAUGGUGGAGCAGGCUCAUUGGGGUGAAUGGCCUUCCCUUGCUCCUAUUGCUUAUGUUGUUACCUUCUUAAAACUUUAUAAUUUGUGCCAUAGUAGAGAUUCUGGAUUAGUCUUUAAACUCUUCUCCAAUAAACACAACCUUGCACCACUCACACUCUCUGAUUUAAAUUAUUUUACUCAUGAGAAAGACUGCCUAAGUUAUUCAAACAUGUAGUUUAUUUUGGCUAAUGUUCCUUUGGCAACGAAGAAACAACUUCCUGAGAGCACUCUUUGCUCCAUGCUAUAUGUACGAUGAUCAUUUCAUGUGAAAGACAAUCUCAGAAGCAAGCAUUGAGUGGACAAAGAGUUUUAAAAAAAUUAAGUGCUGAAUAUGGCACUUCAUCGAAAGAAGGACAGCUUUGGUAUGGUCUUCCACAAGGCCAAUGAUUGAUAUCUUCCAUUUGCUUAUGUCACAAAGACUGGCUUUUUGCAUUCACAUUUAAUCAGCUGGUGACCUUUAGCAUGUGCAGCAAAGUUACUCUGGUAAGCCAGUACCUGUUUUAGUUGUUUUAGGCAUGAAACCAAGGACUGCAGAUAUUUAAGCUGCCUUCUCAAAUGCAAGAUGCCAAAAAUCACUUAUCCAAUGUCAAGAGUUCAGCUUUGCAGCCUGUGAUGUCACCCGAGCCCCUUCAAUGGGCAGCAGCCUUGUAACUCGCUCCUACAUGUUACCAGUGAAAAGUCGAGCCUGUCACUUGAACCAACAUGACCUUUUGAAUCUAUAGUGCACGUGUAACAAAGGAGGACAAACUGACCAAGUUACACAAGAAGCAAAGUUAAAAUGGUUGCUCACACAUGUGUCCCAGACUUUACUGGAAUCCCGGGCCAGAGCCGAGAAAGUGAAGACAGAUGAAAAUUUCAUGAGACCAAAAGAUGAGAGUUUGCAGGAAGGUGUGAAAAACACUAUGAUUUUGAGAGAGAAAUAAUGAAUCUUUUAAACUAUUAAACCGCGGUCAAUCAUGAUGUAUAAAUUGCAAUAAGAGUCACAGACUAAGAGUUAUAGAGUCAUAAAGACACAAUAAUAAUUGCAAAACUCAAAAUAAUGUUUAUUACAGAUUUUUCUCACAAGCUUAUUUUUAAGUAUGACACAAAAGAUAUUUGGAUGCACAGAGUGGCUACUAAUUGUUGCAUUGCUUGUCAAGGUAAUAAAAAAUGUAAUAGUGUGUAGAAUGUUUAAUUAUCGGUUUGAGUCAGUUCACCAUAUGAGUAAUAUCACACCAACUCACCACACUCAUUUAGCAUGCCUGGAUUUCCUUUUCAGAUGAAAGCUGUGCUCUAAUACUAAUACAUCACUUUAUUUAAUAUUAUAAAUACUGUGUGUAUGAAGGUCAUGAUCCACCAUACAUUGGAACGUAUGAAUAAGAUUACAGAUUGAGCAAUUAUCAAUCAACGUUUAA
Amblyraja radiata (thorny skate) is the source of this 2574-nucleotide long non-coding RNA. RefSeq lists it as uncharacterized. The record is from RefSeq and is a predicted model, not a curated record. The transcript has 2 exons. NCBI's taxonomy places the organism in Eukaryota, Metazoa, Chordata, Chondrichthyes, Rajiformes, Rajidae.